GUCACGAAGACCCACCACUGCCGCCCGUCUCCCGUCAGGCAGAGAUCCAACCCCCUCUCUUUAUUUAUGUAAUCUUAUUGACAUUUUGUUAAAUUCUUAGCAUCUACUCAGUAUUUGUCUCGCCUGUAGGAUAAGGUAUCCAUUUGUGCUCACAUUAACUCACACUUUAAUUUGUAUUUUUGUAAGUGGUGAAAAAAAAUUGCAGCAGACAUGUGCGCGUUUUUCUUUUAAAAUUCACAAAAAUAUUGUUAUUAUAUUAACAUUAUUUUUAAUAGACAUUGUUAAAUAUAUGAUGCAACAAAACCCAAAACUGAAUAGGUUCCACGCUCCUCUGGAGCCAGUCAGUUAAACAAGGAGCUGCAGGUGCAUGUAAUUAAUGAAUUAAUUAGCUAGCUAAUAAAGCCCAGAGUUAGAAGAGCAUGCACUCAGAGCUCAUGGCGUCACAGGCAGGUCAGGAGUUGUGUCUGGCUUUUUUUUUCUUAAUCUAAUUUUCUUUCAGUAGUAUAUAUAAUGUGAUGUUAAUACUAAUUAUUGUGAUACUAAUAAUUACAGAUAUAUCAAAAGGUAGUGAUGGGUCCAACAAGCAAACAGAACUUACUGAAAUGCAGCACCAGAAUGACCUUAAAGCCCUGAAUGACAAGCUGGCUGUGAUGGAGGAGAAAAUGGCUUUGUGUAAUGCAGUUUUGGAUGAUCUGAGGUCAAUUCAGAGAAUUGUACAGGAAAAAGGCCUUUGUGAUUCAGCAUUUCAAGGACUGGACAAAUGAUCAUUUGUAACCUUCACAGCUGUAUCUGAAUGAAUAAUAAAUAAAACUGAUAUCUUGCA
This 823-nucleotide long non-coding RNA is filed under the name Astyanax mexicanus (Mexican tetra). Its description in RNAcentral is "lncRNA (ENSAMXG00005011318.1)". Lineage: Eukaryota; Metazoa; Chordata; Actinopteri; Characiformes; Acestrorhamphidae. The record is from RNAcentral.